Molecule: ribosomal RNA, 513 nt
Filed under: uncultured bacterium
Lineage: Bacteria
Description: bacterial SSU rRNA
Rfam family: Bacterial small subunit ribosomal RNA
Source: RNAcentral
GAUCAUGGCUCAGGAUGAACGCUAGCUACAGGCUUAACACAUGCAAGUCGAGGGGCAGCAUGAAGUCUGCUUGCAAACUUGAUGGCGACCGGCGCACGGGUGAGUAACGCGUAUCCAACCUUCCCUAUACUAGAGGAUAGCCCGGCGAAAGUCGGAUUAAUACUCUAUGUUCUUCGUAGAAGACAUCUGAAAUGAAGCAAAGGUUUACCGGUAUAGGAUGGGGGAUGCGUCUGAUUAGGUUGUUGGCGGGUAACGGCCCACCAAGCCCACGAUCAGUAGGGGUUCUGAGAGGAAGGUCCCCCACAUUGGAACUGAGACACGGUCCAAACUCCUACGGGAGGCAGCAGUGAGGAAUAUUGGUCAAUGGACGAGAGUCUGAACCAGCCAAGUAGCGUGCAGGAUGACGGCCCCAUGGGUUGUAAACUGCUUUUAUACAGGGAUAAAGUUCACUACGUGUAGUGUUUUGUAGGUACUGUAUGAAUAAGGACCGGCUAAUUCCGUGCCAGCCGCAGC